Molecule: long non-coding RNA, 781 nt
Organism: Lates calcarifer (barramundi perch)
Lineage: Eukaryota; Metazoa; Chordata; Actinopteri; Centropomidae
Exons: 2
Source: RefSeq, a predicted model, not a curated record
GACUGAACAGCUGAUCAGACCCAGUUUACAUGUUUGUUUCUGAAACGACAGGUUUAUGUUUGGAAGUUUCAGAGACACAGUUUGACUUUAACUGUUUCUAUCAGAGCAUUUACUGCUGAGUCAACAAACACGUCUCAUGUAAACAACAGUUUGUACCAAGUCUCAAUUUAGUCUUAGACGCUAAAACAACAUCAGUUUUUCUACCUCCUCGGGAUUUGUUCAUGUCUUUUUAUCCACUGAUCUCCUGCUGAUCCUGAGUCAGUUCAGAAUAAUUAACCAGCUGAUACUCAGGACUGAAGACUCAGGUCUGUACCUGUGUGAAGUGAGGACAAAGUAUGGUGGGAGCUCUGAGAAAUGUCAACUCAGCAUCACUGCAGCUGAUAAGCCCAAACCUAAGAGAUCACCUGUGGUGAGACCAACUGAGACCAACUGUGAGACCAACAGCAGACAAGUGGAAAAAGAUUAGGUACAACUUGGGACUGGCCUUCAUAUCAAUUCUUUGCUUUGUUGUGGUUUGCUUUGUGCACCUUGGUUAAGAGAAAGAAUCUGUGGCAUCCAAUGAGGAGGCUGCAGACUGGAACUACCCCUCCCUCUACUCAGAGGAAUCAUUAAGUCUGUUCAGUCACUGUUCACUCCGUUCUUCUCCAAUCAGUUUUAAUCAAUCAUCAGUGUGGAGUCAUUAUUUAAUAAAAAUGUGAUACUAUUGUAUCUUAAUUAUAUGACCAAUAAACUGUCUUUCCUAAUGUACUACUUGUAAAUAAAUAAUUCCAUAUUCACAUGA